AAGAGUCUCCUCCCGUUUUAUUUUAGAGCAAUUUUAUAGUUCUUAAGAAGGUAUCAACAAGUAUCAAAAUUUUAUAGUACCUCACAGUACCUACUUAAGAACGGUAAAAUUUCUCUUUAUUUUAUAACUACUGAACUACAACACGAUGAACAUUGCAAUUGUAAUACUAUAUACACAUCCAUAAAACAUAGCAGAAGCAGAUCGGAGGAACAACACUGGCUUUAAUUAGUUGCAUACUUGCAUGCUCUAUCAUAGGCAUUUGUACUAGAUCAUUGGAUGAGAUUGUAGUCGAAGGCCCCAAAGAGAUCGAGCAAUGCUCCAUGAAUGUGUCAUGGAUCGGGCUGGGUGGCCAUGGCGGCGCUUGCGGCAGCGCAACACUCGG
Molecule: long non-coding RNA, 382 nt
Filed under: Oryza brachyantha (malo sina)
Lineage: Eukaryota; Viridiplantae; Streptophyta; Magnoliopsida; Poales; Poaceae
Description: long non-coding RNA (OBRA_LNC000252)
Source: RNAcentral